AAAGAAGCCGGAAUAGCUCAGUUGGUAGAGCAGAGGACUGAAAAUCCUCGUGUCACA
Molecule: transfer RNA, 57 nt
Filed under: Fauriella tenuis
Lineage: Eukaryota; Viridiplantae; Streptophyta; Bryopsida; Hypnales; Thuidiaceae
Description: partial tRNA-Phe
Rfam family: tRNA (bases 7-57)
About the family: Transfer RNA (tRNA) molecules are approximately 80 nucleotides in length. Their secondary structure includes four short double-helical elements and three loops (D, anti-codon, and T loops).
Source: RNAcentral